GUGGAGGUGAUGAUUAUUUCCCCAAAUGAUCGAAGUUGAAUAUACUGUGCGAAUUAUUGCUCUCUUUAGAGAGAGUUUAAGCCAGAUUUCUGAUCCAU
Mercurialis annua (annual mercury) is the source of this 98-nucleotide small nucleolar RNA. RefSeq annotates it as small nucleolar RNA Z103. The transcript has a single exon. The record is from RefSeq and is a predicted model, not a curated record. NCBI's taxonomy places the organism in Eukaryota, Viridiplantae, Streptophyta, Magnoliopsida, Malpighiales, Euphorbiaceae.